This 253-nucleotide ribosomal RNA is filed under the name uncultured bacterium. RNAcentral's name for it is "partial 16S ribosomal RNA". It matches the Rfam family "Bacterial small subunit ribosomal RNA", at positions 524 to 776 of the family's 1533-position model. The record is from RNAcentral.
UACGAAGGGUGCAAGCGUUACUCGGAAUUACUGGGCGUAAAGCGCGCGCAGGUGGUUUCUUAAGUCUGAUGUGAAAGCCCACGGCUCAACCGUGGAGGGUCAUUGGAAACUGGGAGACUUGAGUGCAGAAGAGGAAAGUGGAAUUCCAUGUGUAGCGGUGAAAUGCGUAGAGAUAUGGAGGAACACCAGUGGCGAAGGCGACUUUCUGGUCUGUAACUGACACUGAGGCGCGAAAGCGUGGGGAGCAAACAGG